CUUCAGCGAGCCGAGCCACAGCGGACGGUCCUCGGGCCGGUUCUGGCCGUAGGUCGCCAGCAGCGCCUCGGCCUC
Molecule: antisense RNA, 75 nt
Filed under: Streptomyces atratus
Lineage: Bacteria; Bacillati; Actinomycetota; Actinomycetes; Kitasatosporales; Streptomycetaceae
Description: ASpks TB sRNA
Rfam family: ASpks TB sRNA
Source: RNAcentral